UACAGAGGUCUCAAGCGUUUGUUCGGAUUCAUUGGGCGUAAAGGGUGCGUAGGUGGCGGGGCAAGUCAGGUGUGAAAUCUCGGAGCUCAACUCCGAAACUGCACUUGAUACUGCCUUGCUCGAGUACUGGAGAGGAGAUUGGAAUUUACGGUGUAGCAGUGAAAUGCGUAGAUAUCGUAAGGAAGACCAGUGGCGAAGGCGAAUCUCUGGACAGUUACUGACACUGAGGCACGAAGGCCAGGGGAGCAAACAGG
This 254-nucleotide ribosomal RNA is filed under the name uncultured bacterium. RNAcentral describes it as "partial 16S ribosomal RNA". It matches the Rfam family "Bacterial small subunit ribosomal RNA", at positions 524 to 776 of the family's 1533-position model. The record is from RNAcentral.